GAUGAACGCUGGCGGCGUGCCUAAUACAUGCAAGUCGAGCGAACAGAUGAGGAGCUUGCUCCUCUGACGUUAGCGGCGGACGGGUGAGUAACACGUGGAUAACCUACCUAUAAGACUGGGAUAACUUCGGGAAACCGGAGCUAAUACCGGAUAAUAUAUUGAACCGCAUGGUUCAAUAGUGAAAGACGGUUUUGCUGUCACUUAUAGAUGGAUCCGCGCCGCAUUAGCUAGUUGGUAAGGUAACGGCUUACCAAGGCGACGAUGCGUAGCCGACCUGAGAGGGUGAUCGGCCACACUGGAACUGAGACACGGUCCAGACUCCUACGGGAGGCAGCAGUAGGGAAUCUUCCGCAAUGGGCGAAAGCCUGACGGAGCAACGCCGCGUGAGUGAUGAAGGUCUUCGGAUCGUAAAACUCUGUUAUUUGGGAAGAACAAAUGUGUAAGUAACUAUGCACGUCUUGACGGUACCUAAUCAGAAAGCCACGGCUAACUACGUG
This 497-nucleotide ribosomal RNA is filed under the name uncultured bacterium. RNAcentral's name for it is "partial 16S ribosomal RNA". It matches the Rfam family "Bacterial small subunit ribosomal RNA", at positions 28 to 507 of the family's 1533-position model. The record is from RNAcentral.